UUGGAUUCGUCUCGGGGGGGAGAGUGGCGAACGGGUGAGUAACACGUAGGUGACCUACCCCAAAGUGGGGAAUAACCACUGGAAACGGUGGAUAAUACCCCAUGUGGUCUGUCUAGUACAGAUUAAAGUUCCGGCGCUUUGGGAGGGGCCUGCGGCCCAUCAGGUAGUUGGUAGGGUAAUGGCCUACCAAGCCGAUGACGGGUAGGGGGCGUGAGAGCGUGAUCCCCCACACUGGCACUGAGACACGGGCCAG
Molecule: ribosomal RNA, 253 nt
Filed under: uncultured bacterium
Lineage: Bacteria
Description: partial 16S ribosomal RNA
Rfam family: Bacterial small subunit ribosomal RNA
Source: RNAcentral